RNA transcript from Hippocampus zosterae (dwarf seahorse), 4315 nucleotides. It is a transcript of the gene named nuclear envelope pore membrane protein POM 121, with no coding region annotated. NCBI's taxonomy places the organism in Eukaryota, Metazoa, Chordata, Actinopteri, Syngnathiformes, Syngnathidae. The transcript is spliced from 4 exons. The record is from RefSeq and is a predicted model, not a curated record.
UCGGCUGCAUUAACAUAAAGGGCGGGAGGCCACCUGAGCAGUGAGGCUGCUCAGCCAACCUGAAAUGGACCGUAAGUGAAACAGCUACCUAUAUUAUUCCCAUGAUUGUGUCUUUUGCCGCCGUGUUAUUUAUGGACCACAUCCAGGGGGCCGUCUGAUUGGAGGAAAAUAGAGCCUUUUAGGAGACAUAAAUUCAAGGUCUUAAAAGGGGCAAUAAAUAGAGAGUGCUGUGUCAAAGUCUUUGGCCAUCACUAGCUUUGUCGUUUUAUUUGACUAAUACAAUUAGCAAUAUUAUCCCCCCCCGCAAAAAAAAAACAGGGGGUAUGAUGCCUCUCACAAAAAGCCAGCUCCUGCGUGAGCGCCCUUACGAUGAGGUUUGUGUCAGUUCAUGUUUAGGGGCUGUGGCUCUCCUUUCCCACUUGUAAAUCCUGUAAAAUUCCAUCCACCGGAUUGCAUCAUACUAAGAGUUUGCAUGUCAUCUCUUGUCUCUCUCAUCCUCAUUUGAACCUGUUCUCAAUAUGAUGCAUUGCAACUCGACGGCAUUAAAGACCGUGGCCAAAAGCACAAUCCUAAAAUAUUUUUAGUUCACUAUUGAUGGAAAUUGCGCAUUACUAUAGUUGGCAGGGCGUAACUUUUAAGACAGCUCCUGUCUUUGGAUUUCAUUCGAUUCUGCAGACAUCCCUAAUAUUGUGGCCAGCGCGUGUAUUACUUUUGCAUGAGACCGAGGCCUGAACUUCUGCUCGCUGUGACAUUGUUGUGUGCUUGAACCGUUGUCGCUGUGCAAAAGCAGUGCAUAUAGGACGUGUGUUCAUCGUCGGCUUUUUCAUUCACUGUAGAGCAUCUUCAUUAUUACACAGAGGCAGACUUGGUGCCCACUCUGCAUGCGGCAGUAUGCCGUGCGGAGUAAGAAAGCUCCACCGGAUUAAGAGAAGCCGCUCUAUUACUCUUUAUUGUUUUUUUUUUUUGGUUUUUUUUAUCCAGACUAGCGGUCAUUAUUGGCGGACAGCAGUCUGUCGACAUGUAGGCGGGAAUCUUCUUAGCUGGCAGAUUAUAUAGUACCCCUCCCGAGUCUCAAUCCUCCUCCCCUUCACGUAUCUUGUAGGAUGUAGGCAUAUCAACAGGGCAUUGACAGAGGGACACGUUGGAGAGCUGACUCGCAGAAUGAAAGGCGCUUUGAAUUGCUCGUUGCUGAGAGACAGCAAAACUGUCAGGCAUGUGCUGUUGCCUGUCUUUUCACGGGAGAGGGAAGGACCCGAGCAGCCGCAUGAAUAGCGAGGAGGCUACCUGGGAGGCAUCUCCGGGCUUGUCAGAGACAAGAAAUCUCAUCCACGCUGCCAAGAAUUACAACUCGAGUGACGAGUAAAGCCCAAAAUAGCAGUUGUCUCUGCAUAAUUGGAACUAAUGCAAGUUGCAAAAAACAAGUGGGGUGUACAGUAAAACAUGACACUUUUUGCCAUUGGGCGGCUUUGCGUUUCUGACAACUUCCUGACCUUGUAGAUUGCAAUUAUUUGCUUCCUUUCCACCUCUUGCAUCCCUCCCCUAAAACCCCCUCGGAUAGCCAAAGCAGCAUUUAAUUGUGGAGGACUGAGCCGGGGGUAAGGAGUAAUCAGAUGAGGACGCGGGCAGGGGGAAUCACGUGGGCACACAUACUGGCUAACCGGGGAUUAAUAACACUGGCAUCUUGAUUGGAGUUCAGCCGGAGCGGGAGGGUGGGAUGGAGCCCGGAGUGGCGGGGAUGACGAAAAGCGCAGGAAAAAAAGGGAGACGAACGGGACAGUUAGAAUGACAGGAGACGAUCGAGGACUGACAGUGGAGAGACAGAGAAACAGGGAGAGAUGAGGGCAGCGAGUUAGAAUCGUGAGAGGGAGUGGGAGGAAGAAAGAGUGGGAAUUGGAGGCAGUGCAGUGCGCUGCAGAGCAAAGGGGGGGGGGGGGGGAGGUGGGGUGCGAGAGAGAGAGAGAGCGCUGUGGAGAUGAGCUGUAGAGACGAGAAGCCUCUGCUGUUGAGAGCCAGUGAGACGCUGGAGGGCUGCAAGAGGAGACGCAGGUCCAAAAGAGAGGUUGAGGGACUCCAGGGACAGGAGCGGGGUGGUAAAAGGUAGAAAAAAGGAGACGGGGUGAUAACAUCAGAAACGGGAAACGAGGCUCGGGUGGUUUGAGAAUGAGCUGCAAGCGGGAGCAAAUCGGAUAAAAGUUGGAGAGAAAACGGCAGGAGUGGGAAGCGAAGACGGAUCGGGGAGAUACUGCCAAAGUUGAUGUCAAAAGUGGGAGGAGAUUUAUGGCAAAAGAGAAGGAAGCUCUCACUAUCUCAGGAGUCCGUCCCCCCCGUGCUUCUCGUGGACAUCAUCCGUCAGCAUGUUCUCUGACAGCAGAGCGCCGGUGGCCAAGGAGCACAGAGCCUUCAAGCCUCAUGCCCCUCACUUCAUCCCGUGGCUACGCAACAGCCUCAAGUCCCAGCAAAGCGCUGACCUGGGGCUCAACGGGCCCUACAAAUCCAAUCCCGAGCUCCACGACAACCUGGCCCUGACGGAGAGAACCAAAGGGAUCGGGAUUUUCUCCAUCCCGGAGAAGAACAAGACGAAGAAGAGCGAGCUGCGUUGCAACGGCGUGGGAAUGGCCAGGAUGCUGCCCGUGGUGCUGAGGGGCCACCACAUCUUGGGAAAACGGAAGGAAGGCAGUCCCGCCAAGUCUAAGCAGUCUUCAGAGGUGGAACUCGAUCCCAUUCGCCACACGAGCCUCGGUGGCGCUCCCACGCCUGGCUCCCCGCUCACCAAAUACGGGCCUCUUGUGGGAAGUCCCUCGGUUCCUACUUCCGCUCUUCUAACUGAAGGUUCAGACUCUAAGGUUGGCGUCUGCAUGGAGGAAAGCAGGGAAGAUGUUUGGGACUACGCCGGCCAUGUUAUUCAUCAGAGAGACCUGCAGUCAUCUGUCUGGCUCAGCUCAAACCCUCAGGGAUCAUCGAAAGAUGGACAGCGUGGCUUCCGAUCUACUUUCAGCUACAUCAGCAAGAACUGUCAGAGCCAAAGAGACCUGAGCGUGCUCAGAGAACCACCUGCGGAGGGCUCCGGGGCCCCGCUCAAUGGAGUCAUCUUUUCCACCGAGGUUCCUCACAGAGGUCUGGGCUUUACCACCACUCUGCGAGGUCCGGGGAAACACGGCAAGCGCAUUCCAGCGUUGGGCGCGAGCCAGGCCAGGUGGCUCAGGCACAAACCAAAGAGUCAGGAGGACUCGCAGAGGACGGGGACGGACUGCAAUCGAAAAACGGUUCGGAACCAGCUCAAGCGGGUGGUGGAUAACCUGGAGCAGGUUCUGACUGCACUGAGGGAUGUUCAACAGGAAAUGAAAGAGGUAGUUCAUCAGAUCGACUAUCUGACCUCCUGCAUCGACCUGGAUGAAGAAGAGCAGCACCAGUCAGCAGGAGGUGAGAGCUGCUCUUCUUCUGGCUCCAAUGAAGUGACGGUGAUCAGCGCCCAUCCGAGGCCCUCGGUGUCAGUAGACCACAGAGGGGCCACUUUCACUCUGAGGAGAGACCAUCCCUGUCGGAGGGAAUCGCCUCCAGUUGACUUGCCAUGCGAACUGAGCACAGAGUUGACCAGAACUAUUCGGUUUGGAAGUUCUCCCCGACGUGGAGGGUUACUAACGUUGGUCAACAAUCCCGAUUCUUCAACUCAGCCUCCCCCCACGUUGUCCCCUCAAAGAAGCCUCCCCGUCCGGCCGCCCACCCCCGGACUCUCCCCGCUGACCGUCAACCUUCCCAAGUCUCCUCCAUCAUCCCCAGGAGCCUCAUCCUCCGUCAUGAUCAGCCCCAUCUCCCCCGUGUCCCCAAAAUGUCAUCCGACCGCCGUGCUCGGCCCAUCUGUCAUCAUCGAGCCGCCGCGAAGCGACCACCCGGCGACCGUGCGCUUCUGUCCGUCCGCGACAUCUCGACACCCAUCUGCCAGCUGCCCACCCACAGACCCGGAGACGCCGGUCCACGCGGAUAGAGAGAGGCGAGCGUCAUCGGCGGGGCCGCCUCUGGCGGGGGCCGUCAAACUGCCAUCUGGGCAAGGCCGCAGGGGCCGCAAGCCUCCGCCUUACCCUCACAACAGACUCUCAGACUGCGCAAAAACAACGCAGGAUCCCCGCAAAGCUCCUCCGUACCCUGAGAAAAGAAGACUGCUCUCAACCACGGUGUGAGACUGCGGCCCCUCCAAAACCAAGAGAGUUUCAAGGCCCGGCCACAAUGAGAUGAGACAGACCAGGUUUCCAAGGUGACAGAACAUAGACUUGGGCCAUCACUAAGACACGGUUUACAUCCUGUUGGGACCACCGAGGAA